This 207-nucleotide ribosomal RNA is filed under the name uncultured bacterium. RNAcentral's name for it is "partial 16S ribosomal RNA". It matches the Rfam family "Bacterial small subunit ribosomal RNA", at positions 568 to 774 of the family's 1533-position model. The record is from RNAcentral.
AGCGUAGGCGGGAGCCUAAGUUGGGUGUUUAAUUCCGGGGCCCAACCCCGGGCAGGCACUCAAAACUGGGUUUCUUGAAUAGGGGAGAGGUCGGUGGAAUUGGAGGUGUAGCGGUGGAAUGCGUAGAGAUCUCCAAGAACACCCGUUGCGAAGGCGGCCGACUGGACCCAUAUUGACGCUGAGGCUCGAAAGCAUGGGGAGCAAACA